Long non-coding RNA from Sycon ciliatum, 1422 nucleotides. RefSeq lists it as uncharacterized. Lineage: Eukaryota; Metazoa; Porifera; Calcarea; Leucosolenida; Sycettidae. The record is from RefSeq and is a predicted model, not a curated record. The transcript has 2 exons.
UUGGCGCAUGGACUGAUCGCGUGUAACAAAUGUUGAGGAAGAAGAUGCUUCAGCAGCUGCGUCCGACAGAAGACGAGUAGCUUGGCCACCAGAAUCUCGAUUCGUUUGGGACUCCGACUGGUGCGAGCGUGGACAAAAGUGUAUAGCCAUGCCCAGCCUGCGGGAAUGAUUUUGCUGGUAGGAUGCUGCCGUCGUUGUCGACAAGACGGCCCAAGGUUUCUUGCGUAGCGGACCUCGCAGAUUACGAGAUCGUAUCCUUGCAUUUGGCUGUGCCCAUCACUGCUCUUCGAGGUUAUCUCGACAUGCAGAAGCCGCCAAUGCCAGUGACAGAAGAGUCUGACAUUAGAUCUCUACGCUAUGCGGCACACAGGCAGUACACACUAUGUACACGGCAAAUUGGGCAAGCACGUUCGUUGUCGUCUUCCAGCCUGCGUUGUGAAUACCAUCAGGCAAAGAUAUCCAAAUUCUGCACCACCUCAGCCUUCUCAGGAGGCUUCCACCUGGAAUUUGGCAGGGAAACUCGCUUCUCCAAGGCAGGAACAUCGAGGUUGCCAUUUGCAACCGCUACCACCUCACACAUGAGCUUGUCAACAUACUCAUAGCUCUUUUUGUCGUAUAAUUUCUAUUUGGCCAGUCUUCUUUAGGGGCCGUCCAAGGUUACCAAUAAUAUUUUCAAAACGAAAUGUUUUCGUUUGUGGGUGGGUGGGUUUGACGGAGUUUCGUUUUGAAAAUAAUUAUUGGUCUUUUUGGUUGUGCUGUGGCGACGGUUGACAUUGACGUCGUCAAGAGCUGCGAGAUGUGCGUGUCCAAUCAUCCCCAGAAUUGAGAAACGAAUGCGUUUGAGAAUGUAGUUUGGCAGGACACUGUGAUAUACCUACCUGCAUGGCAAAAAGAAUGUGGAGAAAACACACUUGCUUAGACAAUAUACUGCUGUAUGAGAAAAUGGAAACUUCACCGUACAGGACGACUCUUGUUCUCAAUUGCAUUGUUCGUUUCAUUCCCUGUGUUGCCCAUAAGAGACGGGAGCAAAAAUGUUCAGCAGAUGUUUGUUGUCUUCUGGCGUGGAGUGGCGGCAUCAUUAGAUGUACACAUUGUCAUUUCACUAAGUACACCACUACUACAGCAUAUGUACUAUCCUUAGGCUAGCGUGCGUGGGAGUGAGUUUGAGUAUGUGGGUGCGUAUGUGUGUGUGUUGUUGUGUUUGUGUGUGUGCACGCACACGCGCGCGCGCAUGUGGGCGAAGGUGUGAGUGCAUGUGUAUAAUAUGUGUAGUUCCCACUGUAUUCCUUGCACAAUAGGUCUUCACUUACUUUUCUUUCGCAUACAACCAGAACCCAUUCCUUGUUCGAAAUUGGAUUUUUUUUGGCCUGGUGAUCCCGCAAGCGUGGAACUCGGAGUGUAAUAAUUUUUUGUUUCACUUUG